Molecule: long non-coding RNA, 4501 nt
Filed under: Homo sapiens (human)
Lineage: Eukaryota; Metazoa; Chordata; Mammalia; Primates; Hominidae
Description: HSALNT0161349
Source: RNAcentral
GGGUGCUUGAUGCUGCACGUGCGAGACGUGGUACUGAGACAGAGCUUGCUGCGGAAGUAAAAUUUCAAAAUAAUCCUCCAACGUGUUUGUGGCCUGAAGGAGCAGAGCAGCGGUGGGAACAAUUUAAUUCCUAAUAAAGUCCAUACCUCUAAGUCGCUGCGUGUGUGCCAUUGAAACGCAGAGAAGUUGCUAGAACUCCUCCACUCCUGCAGAGCUGUUGCCUCUCUGGGCCUGUGUGACAAUGUUUGCUCUCCCUGCUGUCACUUUGCACUUCCCCGAGUCUCUCUGGAUGGCACUUCAUGAUUUCUCCCUGAAGCAAUGAUGGAAGUAUGUCAGCUGUCAAAGGUUCUGGCAGCAGAAGGCAGCUGAGAAUAAAGCGGCUUCACGGUAAUGUCGGUGACCCCCUAACCAUACCCCGCUUUCCACCGAUGAUUUGUCUGGACAGUGUUUAAAGCAGAUGAAAUAUACAUUUUUUGAAUCAGGCAACAGGAGAUGACCAGUGCUGGGUUUCAUGGGAACCAGAGGAUUUACAACUUUGCUUGGGCUCCACGUACCAGCAGGAGCCUGAUGAGGAGGGCGGCUGUGUUCUGAAUUGUUUUAGGAAGUCUCCUUCAGCCCAAGACCGUCUGGACAAAAUUGCCAUGGGAUCCUGUUGCUGCAGCAGGAUGUUACCAAGUGAGACGUUGACUCAAAGAAGGGGAGCUGAGAUCAGGAAGGCCAAGAUGGCAUCCAAAAAUUCAAACACACCAAGGAGGCCAGGUGCGAUGGCUCACGCCUGUAAUCCUAGCACUUUGGAAGACCCAGGUGGGUGGAUCACCUGAGGUUAGGAGUUUGAGACCAGCCUGGCCAACAUGGUGAAACCCCAUCUCUACUUAAAAAAAAAAAAAAUCAGCUGGGCGUGCUAGAAGGCACCUGUAAUCCCAGCUACUUGGAAGUCUGAGGCAGGAGAAUUGUUUGAACCCGGGAGGUUGAGGUUGCAGUGAGCCACGCCACUGCACUCUAGCCUGGGCAACAAGAGUGAAAUUCAGUCUCAAAAAAAAAAAAAAAAAAAAAAAAACCAAAAAACAAAACCUCCAAAGGACAUAUGUGUGCUCUUGCUCUCAGGAAGCUUGUGAUUCCUGGGGAGAAACUGAUCACACACACACCGAGUAUUGUAAAGUGAUUCAAAGUUGCACAAGGGAGAGGCAAGUUCUGAGUCUCCUCCUGCCUCCCAGUUCCCUUCCUUGAAUGCAGGGUCACUGACUGAUUGGUCACAUCCCAAGACCAUGAUUGGCUAUUUUACAAGUAGACAAGGUCACCAUGCUUUAACAGGCAAGGCCCCAUGAGCCACCUCUCUUUGUUGGAAGUUGCCUGCGUCUGGCCCUCCUCUCACUUCUUGAGUGUAGGUUUGAGGUCUGGGAAUGCUGCUGGUAGCUGUGGUCCAUCCCUUUCAAGAUUGGGAUUUGGAAGAUAAAGGAAAGAUCCUGUUUGGAGCCUGAGCCUAAGCAUAGAGUUCCAGCCUGAGGUUGCAGAGAGGCCCAGCCUUGGGUGUGGGUUCCAAGCCCAGAUGGCAAUAAAGGAGCACCCUGUCUUCCUACGGGCUGGAGUUCCUUUUGAGAGUGCUUCCUGGGAAAUGUUGUCAUAACAUUGACAGGGCAGAAUUUCAGCAUUUCUCACCCUUGGCCCUAAUAUCCAUCUCCCAAAUCACCCCCAGUGCCAGGAAUCAUUAAGAAAGCAGUGGUAGUGUUGAGACAACCAAAAGGCUGUUAGUUUGAGAACCGUCACAUAUAGCAGAUGGAAUUCUUGAAAAAGUGUCUUCAGCAUUAGGUAGAGGCAUAUUGUUAUACAUAAAGAAAGGCCGGAGAAAAACACCAAGAACUUUCUGGGGUAACUUCUCUACAGGAGGUUGCUGUGUCCCCCUAGACAGCUCUAUCAACAGGUGAGGACUGGGAAUCUAGUGGUGAAUUGAUGUGACUGGGUUGGGGCAGAAAUGCCAUGGGGCCUGAUGCAGCACAGCUGUACGUCAUGGAAAAUGAUCCCUGAGACAGUCAGCAACUGGAUGUAGAAUGAAUCUGUUUAAGUAAUGAGUGUUCGCUUUAGGAGAGCAGGAUGCAGGACAAUAGCCAGGAGAGAGCAAAACCUGUUUGAAAGAGUUGAGGGAUUUGUGAUGUCCUGCCUGACACACCAGCACCCCUGAUGAUGCUGUCAAUGGCUUUCUCUCAAUUAGUCCCCCUGGACAGGUGGAAGCCGAGGUAAGUUGGGUAAUUGAUGUCUUCAUGCUUCCACAAAGGGCCUACUUUGGGAAGAUGGAAUAUGUUAAUGCAGGUCCCUGCAUGAAGCAGGGAAUUCUGAACACAUUUGCAGGCCGGUGAAGGAAAGGUCCUUCCCCAUGUCAUGGUUCCACAUGCUCUCCACCAUAAACUUGGAAGAAUUCAAGCUGACACAUCAUGUGAAAUUCAGGGUGAAAAAAGUCUGUUGAAAUGGAUAAUGGAAUGUGGAAGACCUGUGGAACAUGUAGUUGGACCUUUAACUCUGUCUGUAUCCACACAAAAGCCUGUAAUAGAAUGUUCAAGCAUAACAUCCUUGAAUUUUUCAAAAAUAACUUUACAGCUGAUCCAUUUAUUUUGUCGGUGGGGUGAGGGGACAGAGAGAAGAAUGGGAAAGAGAGUGAGAGCAGGGAAAGAGAAGAGUGAUGAUUGAAGGGGAAGAGAAGGAAUUUUCUAACAACUCCUUGCCACAAAAUGAUGAGUGAUGGUGAGUGAUUUAAUUAGGUCAUUAAGUGGAUGAAAUAACAUGGCCAAGGUAAACUUACGUAAACUGUUUCUUAUUUAAAUUAUAUUGGAUACUUGGAUCAUCUGUUUAAUAAAAAAUCUCAUCCACUCUUCAAUAUUGGCUUAAAUCCUCUCCCCUGAACAAAACCUUUUCUAAGCACUGCAACUGGGACAUUUUUUAGUUCUUUUUACAUUUUUUUUCCAUAUUAUUUAGUUGAAACUAAUUGCAUGGAGCUCUAUUCCACGUAGUUACUUCCAUGGGUCCAUGAGUCUUAUUUCUCCCCAAAGACAUUUUUCUUAGGGAGGAAGAAACCAAGCUACAAACGUUUUUCUCAUGUGCUUCCUACACUGUGUUCUGUGCAGUAGAUGCUGCUGAACAUUUGCCAGGAGCCUGAUAUUUGGAAAGUUUGGCUCAUUUUCAAGGCUAUGCAAUUUAAUGAUACUGACAAACCCCAAAAUUUCUAGAUCCCAAUUAAGUACUUCAUUGUCCUGACUUCAUUCAUCAUAAUGGAAAAUUAACUUACUGUCUAAUAUCUCAUUUUCUUCUCUUUAAUAUAGAUAAUAAUAAACUAACCCAUGCAAAUGUAUUGAAGAAUAAUGAAUAAAUAAAAUUUACAAGCAAAUGUAAGUAUAAAGAUGUAUCUAAAUGCACAUAAUAUUAAUGGAGAUUGAUAAAAUAAACCAGCUAGUAAUGAUGUGGAAGUGAUAACAUGUACACAUCGUUUUGCAAAUCAGAUUUUUAGUGACUAAAUAGAAAAUGACUUGGAGAAAAUACAUGAGACUUUGUGAGUAAUUCUGAGGUGGGAGAGAAAUUUUUUAAAAUUCUGAGGAUGUAUGAUGGGAUUCUUUAAGACUUUCUCUCUUAGUCUCCUGAACUCUGUUUAUAGUGUACACAUUAACUUUGUUUAUAAAUUUAAUGAAUCCGUUUUUGAUUAAAUAAACAUGCGUAUGGUAAAGAAAUUCCGUGAGACUAAAUAAUUCUUCCACCCCUGUCUCCCAGUUUUCUGGUUCUCUUCCUCAGAGAAAACUACUAUGUUUCUUGAAUUUUCUUCAGAGGAUAAUUCUCUGUAGAUACAAACAUAUUUCUAAAUGUGCCUUUCACUUUUAUAGCAUGAAGUUUGGUGUCCUAAGUAAGAAUUCUACAGUUUGCUUGUUUUCACUUACCAAUAUGUCUGGAGAUUGUUCCAUACAUACAUGUCGAUCCACCUCUUUCUUUUUAACACCAGGGUCUCUGUUAUAGACAUAACACACUUGUCCAGGCAGAUAACUUCUCAGCUUAGCGUUUUCAAGGUUGUUACAUAAUAAUGAUCUUUAUAAUGGAUUUGUCCUCUUCAGAGCAGGUCUGGGCUUUUGAUGUGCCAUGUGGAUUAUUGGUGGAAAUUUAUGAGUACAUUCUUUGGAGUUGCAUUCACAUUCAAGUCUGUAUUAUAACAUUCACAAUUAUAUAACUUGGACCCUUCACCUUCUUAUUUUAAUUUAGAUUCGUUGUAAUUCUGGACUUUCAUACCACCAUUAGCCUUGAACUUAUUUUGAAGCUCUCCUAUAGGAGAGCUAGACAAGGAUGUUUCUUGUCUAAUAUCCUGGACAAUAUUCUCCAGUAGCAAUGUACAAAAGAGUUAAUGGAAGCUUAAUUUCUGGGUACUCAAACACCUGAAUAUAUCUUUAUUCUGUUCUCAUAAUUGACUUAACAAUAUGACUAGUUAUAGGUAUCUAAGUUAAAAAGAUUUUCUCCAUAAUAUAUUGGGCCUCAA